Molecule: ribosomal RNA, 331 nt
Filed under: uncultured eukaryote
Lineage: Eukaryota
Description: partial 18S ribosomal RNA
Rfam family: Eukaryotic small subunit ribosomal RNA
Source: RNAcentral
CCCUUAGAUGUUCUGGGCUGCACGCGUGCUACACUGAUUACUUCAACAAGUGUUUUAACUGGAGAGUUCGCGUAAUCCUGAAAUGUUAUCGUGAUGGGAGUAGAGUAUUGUAUUUGUUAAUCUUUAACGAGGAAUUCCUAGUAAGUGUAGGUUUAUAAGUUGUUCUGAUUACGUCCCUGCCCUUUGUACACACCGCCCGUCGCUCCUACCGAUUGAAUUGUCCGAUGAAAUUUUUGGAUUGCGGGUUUUGUUUUACUGUUAGUUCGCUAGUAGUAACGCCUGUGAGAAGUUAAUUUAAUCUUACAAUUUAGAGGAAGGAGAAGUCGUGACA